CGCGUCUUGGCGACCUGUGAACAGAUUUGACUGUCGUGGAAGAGGCCUCUGAGCAACAUGAUCCCGCUCCUGAAGAAGAGCGUAUGGAGCAGACAGACGUCUGCAGUAAUUCCAUCACCAUAGUCACGCAGGGAUGGCCCUUGUGUCUCUUCUGUGAUGUUGACACUCCCUUCACCGGAGCAGCUCUGGUGUGCGACACACAGGGAAACGGGAAUCAUUGGGCAGCUCUUUGGAAAGACGCAGCAUCCAUCGCUGGCCGCGUGCGUAUGAACCUAUGCGACAAGGCUGCGGCCAGAUUAGCCGCAAACAUCACACUGAGAUGCUCCAGCCGUCUCCCCCGGCAACCCCGUGCAGAGCCAGAGGUCUGUAAGAUGGGAGGACGGAUGAUUAGCGGCUGAAGCCUGAAGAGGCGACACCUUAACUUGAUCUACUGGACAAUAAAAGGCGGGAAAAGACUCAUCAGAGAGAAGAAAUAAACAUCUUCGGUAAGGAGAAGAUGAUCAUCGUUUGGUGACAUUUACUGUCCCAGCCAAGCUUCUUAGACGUCCAGGCGGCUCCCAGCGUCGGCCUGCAGGAGCAGCAGGUGUGAGGCGCCACAAGCCAAGCGAGGCUCAUCCCUCACGCCGGAAUAAGAAGCAGAGAAUGACCCAGCUAAUGCAGCAAGGCGAAUCAGUAUUCAGUGACGGCUCCGGCAAAUUAUGAAAUCAGUGCAUUUCUGCUACCGUCCUCCUUAAACCGGGAAUAAUUAGCAAUCACUACAAAGCUAGAGGACCGAAAUAUUCUAUUCUUCUGUGCUGUCAACUUUUAUCUUGAUCCAAGCUUAACCGAACGGAGUUCGUUUUUCCGAGGCAAUUGGUUGAAUUGGGCUUAAUGACAACCUGACAUGUUCUCAAUUGCAACACAAAGGGAUACGUCAUUUCAUCAACCCCGCCGACCCUUGCAAUGUCCGGGGACAUAAAUAGCCCCACAGCCGCGGAGCGCCAUCGAGUGGUGUGCCAUUCUCUUCUUUCAUGUAUAGCCUGAUGUCUGAAGGGUUCCUCCCGGGUGGAGGGGAGAGAGAAAAGAUACCUAAUCAGUCAUAAUUCCAUUGGAUAUUUAUAAUCAGACGGAUUCUCCGGGGCCUCCGUGGAUCCAUUACCUGAUUAUGUUCUUGAUGGGUUCGUUAAAACUUUGGACUUCAGUCCUAUUUAUCAGUUUCCCACGUGCUACCAGACGCCGGGGAACCUUGCAUGAAUUGAGCCCAGGGCUGGACCAGCCAUUUGGCAAACUGGGCAUUUUCCUGGUGGGGCGAUGGGGCUGUGGGCCAGCAUUCAUGGUGGAGGACACCCCACCCCGACCCCCCCAAUCAGCAAAUAAUGUAAUUUUGUAAAAGUCAGUGGCCGAUUUCUAAUCCCUGUCCAGCCCUGACUGAGCCCUGCUAAAUAGACAAAGGUCUGGAUUUUUCAACAAAUCAACUUUCCUCUUCAAAAAUUGAAUUCAAAACUACUUUCAAAAUGAAUUUAUAGUUAUUUGAGAUCCAUGAACAACUUGAAUAAAAUGAAAACCAGGGUAACAUUUGUAAUAUAUUUUUAUAUAUAAAUAUAUUUUUUUUUAAUGUAAGGAGGGGUGGACUUUUCACGGUACUUGUGCUAAACCUAGUUAAAGGUGGAACUGAGAUGUAGAUUCUAAAAGCAAUAUAAGAAUCCAGCUGGGGAGGAAGUAAAAUAGAAUA
Molecule: long non-coding RNA, 1711 nt
Organism: Paramormyrops kingsleyae
Lineage: Eukaryota; Metazoa; Chordata; Actinopteri; Osteoglossiformes; Mormyridae
Source: RefSeq, a predicted model, not a curated record